This 468-nucleotide ribosomal RNA is filed under the name uncultured bacterium. Its description in RNAcentral is "partial 16S ribosomal RNA". It matches the Rfam family "Bacterial small subunit ribosomal RNA", at positions 28 to 507 of the family's 1533-position model. The record is from RNAcentral.
GACGAACGCUGGCGGCGUGCUUAACACAUGCAAGUCGAACGGAAAGGCCCUGCUUUUGUGGGGUGCUCGAGUGGCGAACGGGUGAGUAACAAGUGAGUAACCUGCCCUUGACUUUGGGAUAACUUCAGGAAACUGGGGCUAAUACCGGAUAGGAGCUCCUGCUGCAUGGUGGGGGUUGGAAAGUUUCGGCGGUUGGGGAUGGACUCGCGGCUUAUCAGCUUGUUGAUGGGGUAGUGGCUUACCAAGGCUUUGACGGGUAGCCGGCCUGAGAGGGUGACCGGCCACAUUGGGACUGAGAUACGGCCCAGACUCCUACGGGAGGCAGCAGUGGGGAAUAUUGCACAAUGGGCGGAAGCCUGAUGCAGCAACGCCGCGUGCGGGAUGACGGCCUUCGGGUUGUAAACCGCUUUCGCCUGUGACGAAGCGUGAGUGACGGUAAUGGGUAAAGAAGCACCGGCUAACUACGUG